CGUCAAAUCAUCAUGCCCCUUAUGUCUUGGGCUACACACGUGCUACAAUGGCUGCUACAAAGUGAGGCGAGCCCGCGAGGGCAGGCAAACCACAAAAAAGCAGUCCCAGUUCGGAUUGCAGGCUGCAACCCGCCUGCAUGAAGCUGGAAUCGCUAGUAAUCGCGAAUCAGCAUGUCGCGGUGAAUACGUUCCCGGGCCUU
This 200-nucleotide ribosomal RNA is filed under the name uncultured prokaryote. Its description in RNAcentral is "partial 16S ribosomal RNA". It matches the Rfam family "Bacterial small subunit ribosomal RNA", at positions 1183 to 1382 of the family's 1533-position model. The record is from RNAcentral.